GCGCAGCAGGCGAGAAUCCUCCGCAAUGCGGGAAACCGUGACGGGGUCACCCCGAGUGCCACCCGAUGAGGGUGGCUUUUCCCCGGUCUAAAAAGCCGGGGGCAAUAAGCGGGGGGCAAGUCUGGUGUCAGCCGCCGCGGUAAUACCAGCCCCGCGAGUGGUCGGGACGUUUAUUGGGCCUAAAGCGUCCGUAGCCGGCUCGGUAAGUCCCUCCUUAAAUCCACGGGCUCAACCCGUGGGCUGGGAGGGAUACUGCCGGGCUAGGGGGCGGGAGAGGCCGAGGGUACUCCCGGGGUAGGGGCGAAAUCCGUUAAUCCCGGGAGGACCACCAGUGGCGAAGGCGCUCGGCUGGAACGCGCCCGACGGUGAGGGACGAAAGCUGGGGGAGCAAAGGGGAUUAGAUACCCCUGUAGU
This 414-nucleotide ribosomal RNA is filed under the name uncultured microorganism. RNAcentral describes it as "bacterial SSU rRNA". It matches the Rfam family "Archaeal small subunit ribosomal RNA", at positions 330 to 745 of the family's 1478-position model. The record is from RNAcentral.